This 418-nucleotide ribosomal RNA is filed under the name uncultured alga. RNAcentral describes it as "eukaryotic LSU rRNA". The stretch from base 1 to 105 matches the Rfam family "5.8S ribosomal RNA", at positions 50 to 154 of the family's 154-position model. The record is from RNAcentral.
GAAAUGCGAUACGUAGUGUGAAUUGCAGAAUUCCGUGAACCAUCGAAUUUUUGAACGCAUAUUGCGGUCAAGGCCUCGGCUAAGACCAUGUCUGCCUCAGCGUCGGGUUAAUCGUCCCAUCCUCAAUCAUUGAUCAAUUAAUUGAUUAAUGUGCGAGAUAAUAUGAUGGGGAUCAAUCGCAGUCCGGGUGUUUUAACCGACACCCAGUCUGCCCAAGUAUUUAUUAGGUGCUUCCUUGCAUGGGUGCAAUUCUUUACCGACUUGCAUUCAACACAAGCCGCACUCGAGUAUUCAUCUCGUAUGUUUGUCUCGUACUGCUGGUUUGGGCAAAGAAGUCUUGACGUGGUUCGCCACGUCAGGACCCCCCCCACUUAUUCAAUCCUUGGACCACCAACACUUCUCGACCUGAGCUCAGGCA